RNAcentral lists this ribosomal RNA (3075 nucleotides) under Campylobacter jejuni. RNAcentral's name for it is "23S ribosomal RNA". It matches the Rfam family "Bacterial large subunit ribosomal RNA". Lineage: Bacteria; Pseudomonadati; Campylobacterota; Epsilonproteobacteria; Campylobacterales; Campylobacteraceae. The record is from RNAcentral.
UAAAAAAAGGUAAGCUACUAAGAGCGAAUGGUGGAUGCCUUGACUGGUAAAGGCGAUGAAGGACGUACUAGACUGCGAUAAGCUACGGGGAGCUGUCAAGAAGCUUUGAUCCGUAGAUUUCCGAAUGGGGCAACCCAAUGUAUAGAGAUAUACAUUACCUAUAUAGGAGCGAACGAGGGGAAUUGAAACAUCUUAGUACCCUCAGGAAAAGAAAUCAAUAGAGAUUGCGUCAGUAGCGGCGAGCGAAAGCGCAAGAGGGCAAACCCAGUGCUUGCACUGGGGGUUGUAGGACUGCAAUGUGCAAGAGGUAAGUUUAGCAGAACAUUCUGGAAAGUAUAACCAUAGAGGGUGAUAGUCCCGUAUGCGAAAAACAAACCUUAGCUAGCAGUAUCCUGAGUAGGGCGGGACACGAGGAAUCCUGUCUGAAUCCGGGUCGACCACGAUCCAACCCUAAAUACUAAUACCAGAUCGAUAGUGCACAAGUACCGUGAGGGAAAGGUGAAAAGAACUGAGGUGAUCAGAGUGAAAUAGAACCUGAAACCAUUUGCUUACAAUCAUUCAGAGCCCUAUGUAGCAAUACAGGGUGAUGGACUGCCUUUUGCAUAAUGAGCCUGCGAGUUGUGGUGUCUGGCAAGGUUAAGCAAACGCGAAGCCGUAGCGAAAGCGAGUCUGAAUAGGGCGCUUAGUCAGAUGCUGCAGACCCGAAACGAAGUGAUCUAUCCAUGAGCAAGUUGAAGCUAGUGUAAGAACUAGUGGAGGACUGAACCCAUAGGCGUUGAAAAGCCCCGGGAUGACUUGUGGAUAGGGGUGAAAGGCCAAUCAAACUUCGUGAUAGCUGGUUCUCUCCGAAAUAUAUUUAGGUAUAGCGUUGUGUCGUAAUAUAAGGGGGUAGAGCACUGAAUGGGCUAGGGCAUACACCAAUGUACCAAACCCUAUCAAACUCCGAAUACCUUAUAUGUAAUCACAGCAGUCAGGCGGCGAGUGAUAAAAUCCGUCGUCAAGAGGGAAACAACCCAGACUACCAGCUAAGGUCCCUAAAUCUUACUUAAGUGGAAAACGAUGUGAAGUUACUUAAACAACCAGGAGGUUGGCUUAGAAGCAGCCAUCCUUUAAAGAAAGCGUAAUAGCUCACUGGUCUAGUGAUUUUGCGCGGAAAAUAUAACGGGGCUAAAGUAAGUACCGAAGCUGUAGACUUGCACACAACUUAGAUUAUUUAAGUUUAGAAUAUUAAGAAACUAAGUUAUAUGUUUUAGUUAUAUUUUUACUGAUUUUUAUAGAGUAAAGAUAGAAAUAAAACUUAGUAAAAUCAGUAAAAAUAUUCUUAGGCUAAAGUUAAGUAGUUUAAGUUGUGUGCAAGUGGUAGGAGAGCGUUCUAUUUGCGUCGAAGGUAUACCGGUAAGGAGUGCUGGAGCGAAUAGAAGUGAGCAUGCAGGCAUGAGUAGCGAUAAUUAAUGUGAGAAUCAUUAACGCCGUAAACCCAAGGUUUCCUACGCGAUGCUCGUCAUCGUAGGGUUAGUCGGGUCCUAAGUCGAGUCCGAAAGGGGUAGACGAUGGCAAAUUGGUUAAUAUUCCAAUACCAACAUUAGUGUGCGAUGGAAGGACGCUUAGGGCUAAGGGGGCUAGCGGAUGGAAGUGCUAGUCUAAGGUCGUAGGAGGUUAUACAGGCAAAUCCGUAUAACAAUACUCCGAGAACUGAAAGGCUUUUUGAAGUCUUCGGAUGGAUAGAAGAACCCCUGAUGCCGUCGAGCCAAGAAAAGUUUCUAAGUUUAGCUAAUGUUGCCCGUACCGUAAACCGACACAGGUGGGUGGGAUGAGUAUUCUAAGGCGCGUGGAAGAACUCUCUUUAAGGAACUCUGCAAAAUAGCACCGUAUCUUCGGUAUAAGGUGUGGUUAGCUUUGUAUUAGGAUUUACUCCGAAAGCAAGGAAACUUACAACAAAGAGUCCCUCCCGACUGUUUACCAAAAACACAGCACUCUGCUAACUCGUAAGAGGAUGUAUAGGGUGUGACGCCUGCCCGGUGCUCGAAGGUUAAUUGAUGGGGUUAGCAUUAGCGAAGCUCUUGAUCGAAGCCCGAGUAAACGGCGGCCGUAACUAUAACGGUCCUAAGGUAGCGAAAUUCCUUGUCGGUUAAAUACCGACCUGCAUGAAUGGCGUAACGAGAUGGGAGCUGUCUCAAAGAGGGAUCCAGUGAAAUUGUAGUGGAGGUGAAAAUUCCUCCUACCCGCGGCAAGACGGAAAGACCCCGUGGACCUUUACUACAGCUUGACACUGCUACUUGGAUAAGAAUGUGCAGGAUAGGUGGGAGGCUUUGAGUAUAUGACGCCAGUUGUAUAUGAGCCAUUGUUGAGAUACCACUCUUUCUUAUUUGGGUAGCUAACCAGCUUGAGUUAUCCUCAAGUGGGACAAUGUCUGGUGGGUAGUUUGACUGGGGCGGUCGCCUCCCAAAUAAUAACGGAGGCUUACAAAGGUUGGCUCAGAACGGUUGGAAAUCGUUCGUAGAGUAUAAAGGUAUAAGCCAGCUUAACUGCAAGACAUACAAGUCAAGCAGAGACGAAAGUCGGUCUUAGUGAUCCGGUGGUUCUGUGUGGAAGGGCCAUCGCUCAAAGGAUAAAAGGUACCCCGGGGAUAACAGGCUGAUCUCCCCCAAGAGCUCACAUCGACGGGGAGGUUUGGCACCUCGAUGUCGGCUCAUCGCAUCCUGGGGCUGGAGCAGGUCCCAAGGGUAUGGCUGUUCGCCAUUUAAAGCGGUACGCGAGCUGGGUUCAGAACGUCGUGAGACAGUUCGGUCCCUAUCUGCCGUGGGCGUAAGAAGAUUGAAGAGAUUUGACCCUAGUACGAGAGGACCGGGUUGAACAAACCACUGGUGUAGCUGUUGUUCUGCCAAGAGCAUCGCAGCGUAGCUAAGUUUGGAAAGGAUAAACGCUGAAAGCAUCUAAGCGUGAAGCCAACUCUAAGAUGAAUCUUCUCUAAGCUCUCUAGAAGACUACUAGUUUGAUAGGCUGGGUGUGUAAUGGAUGAAAGUCCUUUAGCUGACCAGUACUAAUAGAGCGUUUGGCUUAUCUUUAAUAAAGCAU